This 581-nucleotide ribosomal RNA is filed under the name uncultured bacterium. RNAcentral describes it as "bacterial SSU rRNA". It matches the Rfam family "Bacterial small subunit ribosomal RNA", at positions 102 to 679 of the family's 1533-position model. The record is from RNAcentral.
ACGGGUGAGUAAUGUCUGGGAAACUGCCUGAUGGAGGGGGAUAACUACUGGAAACGGUAGCUAAUACCGCAUAACGUCGCAAGAUCAAAGAGGGGGACCUUCGGGCCUCUUGCCAUCAGAUGUGCCCAGAUGGGAUUAGCUAGUAGGUGGGGUAACGGCUCACCUAGGCGACGAUCCCUAGCUGGUCUGAGAGGAUGACCAGCCACACUGGAACUGAGACACGGUCCAGACUCCUACGGGAGGCAGCAGUGGGGAAUAUUGCGCAAUGGGCGCAAGCCUGAUGCAGCCAUGCCGCGUGUAUGAAGAAGGCCUUCGGGUUGUAAAGUACUUUCAGCGGGGAGGAAGGUGUUGUGGUUAAUAACCACAGCGAUUGACGUUACCCGCAGAAGAAGCACCGGCUAACUCCGUGCCAGCAGCCGCGGUAAUACGGAGGGUGCAAGCGUUAAUCGGAAUUACUGGGCGUAAAGCGCACGCAGGCGGUCUGUCAAGUCGGAUGUGAAAUCCCCGGGCUCAACCUGGGAACUGCAUUCGAAACUGGCAGGCUAGAGUCUUGUAGAGGGGGGUAGAAUUCCAGGUGUAGC